Molecule: ribosomal RNA, 359 nt
Filed under: Pseudomonas putida
Lineage: Bacteria; Pseudomonadati; Pseudomonadota; Gammaproteobacteria; Pseudomonadales; Pseudomonadaceae
Description: bacterial SSU rRNA
Rfam family: Bacterial small subunit ribosomal RNA
Source: RNAcentral
GAUUAGCUAGUUGGUGGAGUAAUGGCUCACCAAGGCGACGAUCCGUAACUGGUCUGAGAGGAUGAUCAGUCACACUGGAACUGAGACACGGUCCAGACUCCUACGGGAGGCAGCAGUGGGGAAUAUUGGACAAUGGGCGAAAGCCUGAUCCAGCCAUGCCGCGUGUGUGAAGAAGGUCUUCGGAUUGUAAAGCACUUUAAGUUGGGAGGAAGGGCAGUAAGUUAAUACCUUGCUGUUUUGACGUUACCGACAGAAUAAGCACCGGCUAACUCUGUCCAGCAGCCGCGGUAAUACAGAGGGUGCAAGCGUUAAUCGGAAUUACUGGGCGUAAAGCGCGCGUAGGUGGUUUGUUAAGUUGC